UCGAAGCCUAGAAAGCACGACCGCGAACGAGUUUCAAUCCGGGGGCGGCGUUGGUGAGCUCUCGAGCGACCCAUCGUUCCCCCGCUCGGAUGGCGUGCGGCCUCGUGCCGCCCGGCUUCCGAAACUAACGAACCCCGGCGCGGCAAGCGCCAAGGAAUCAUAACGAAAGAACUUGUCGCUCGAGCCCGUCCUCGGGACUCGGGCGGCAGGAGUCUGUUCAAUUACAGUCACAACGACUCUCGGCAACGGAUAUCUCGGCUCUCGCAUCGAUGAAGAACGUAGCGAAAUGCGAUACUUGGUGUGAAUUGCAGAAUCCCGUGAAUCAUCGAGUCUUUGAACGCAAGUUGCGCCCGAAGCCUUUAGGCCGAGGGCACGUCUGCCUGGGCGUCAUGCACUGCGAUGCCCCCCAUACACUUUGUACGGGGAGCGGAUCAUGGCCUCCCGUGAGCCCCAACUCGCGGAUGGCUUAAAAGCGAGCCUCGGGACGGCGAGCCGUCGCGACAAGUGGUGGUUAGAGGCCUUCGGCCUUCGAGCUUAGCACGUCGCGCGAUCCCGCCCCUCUCUUGCUCCGAAGUAACCCCGAGGGAGCGCUUCCGCGCUGCCCAGCAUCG
Molecule: unclassified non-coding RNA, 611 nt
Filed under: Prometheum sp. P.011
Lineage: Eukaryota; Viridiplantae; Streptophyta; Magnoliopsida; Saxifragales; Crassulaceae
Description: sequence contains ITS1, 5.8S rRNA gene and ITS2
Rfam family: 5.8S ribosomal RNA (bases 235-390)
Source: RNAcentral